This 253-nucleotide ribosomal RNA is filed under the name uncultured bacterium. Its description in RNAcentral is "partial 16S ribosomal RNA". It matches the Rfam family "Bacterial small subunit ribosomal RNA", at positions 524 to 776 of the family's 1533-position model. The record is from RNAcentral.
UACAGAGGUCUCAACCGUUGUUCGGAUUCAUUGGGCGUAAAGGGUGCGUAGGCGGUCGGGUAAGUCGGAUGUGAAAUCUCAGGGCUCAACCCUGAAACUGCAUUCGAUACUGCCUGGCUAGGGUACUGGAGAGGAGACUGGAAUUUACGGUGUAGCAGUGAAAUGCGCAGAUAUCGUAAGGAAGACCAGUGGCGAAGGCGAGUCUCUGGACCGGUACUGACGCUGAUGCGCGAAAGCGUGGGGAGCAAACGGG